UGGGGAAUUUUGGACAAUGGGGGAAACCCUGAUCCAGCCAUCCCGCGUGUGCGAUGAAGGCCUUCGGGUUGUAAAGCACUUUUGGCAGGAAAGAAACGUCAUGGGUUAAUACCCCGUGAAACUGACGGUACCUGCAGAAUAAGCACCGGCUAACUACGUGCCAGCAGCCGCGGUAAUACGUAGGGUGCAAGCGUUAAUCGGAAUUACUGGGCGUAAAGCGGGCGCAGGCGGUUCGGAAAGAAAGAUGUGAAAUACCAGAGCUCAAUUUUGGAACUGUAUUUUUAACUACCGGGCUAGAGUGUGUCAGAGGGAGGUGGAAUUCCGCGUGUAGCAGUGAAAUGCGUCGAUAUGCGGAGGCACAUCGAUGGCGAAGGCAGACUCAUGGGAUAACAAUGACGCUCAUGUACGAAAGCGUGGGGAGCAAACAGG
Molecule: ribosomal RNA, 429 nt
Filed under: Acidobacteriota bacterium
Lineage: Bacteria; Pseudomonadati; Acidobacteriota
Description: Acidobacteria bacterium partial 16S ribosomal RNA
Rfam family: Bacterial small subunit ribosomal RNA
Source: RNAcentral